GUGCUCGCUUCGGCAGCACAUAUACUAAAAUUGGAACGAUACAGAGAAGAUUAGCGUGGCCCCCGCACAAGGAUGACACGCAAAUUCGUGAAGCGUUCCAUACUUUU
Molecule: small nuclear RNA, 107 nt
Filed under: Camelus ferus (Wild Bactrian camel)
Lineage: Eukaryota; Metazoa; Chordata; Mammalia; Artiodactyla; Camelidae
Source: RNAcentral